AAUCCUUUAAUUACAAAGCAGUCACCAAAUAGUAGUUUUAUGCUUUGACUUUUAUGGAAUCACACCAAUGAGCAACAUACUCCAACAAGCACCCGAACAUAAAGUGGAAAGGUUUCGUAGGUUUUUGAACACAUUUUUACUUUGAGAGGAAUAUCCACACUUAGCCUGCCUAAACAUAAAAAUUUCAUGCAAAUGGGAUCAUGUUGGAACAUAAAUUUAUUUGGGAUUAGUUCUUGAGCACUCUUUUGCUUGCUUGAAAUAUCACCCACUUUUUGAUGCAAGGACAAAUAUU
RNAcentral lists this long non-coding RNA (292 nucleotides) under Carica papaya (papaya). RNAcentral describes it as "long non-coding RNA (CPAP_LNC011507)". Lineage: Eukaryota; Viridiplantae; Streptophyta; Magnoliopsida; Brassicales; Caricaceae. The record is from RNAcentral.